This 301-nucleotide ribosomal RNA is filed under the name uncultured bacterium. Its description in RNAcentral is "partial 16S ribosomal RNA". It matches the Rfam family "Bacterial small subunit ribosomal RNA", at positions 509 to 809 of the family's 1533-position model. The record is from RNAcentral.
CAGUAGCCGCGGUAAUACGGAGGGUGCAAGCGUUAGUCGGAUUUACUGGGCGUAAAGGGCGCGUAGGUGGUUAUUUAAGUGAGAUGUGAAAGCCCCGGGCUUAACCUGGGAACUGCAUCUUACACUGGGUAACUGGAGUGCAGUAGAGGGUAGUGGAAUUUCCGGUGUAGCGGUGAAAUGCGUAGAUAUCGGAAGGAACACCAGUGGCGAAGGCGGCUACCUGGACUGAGACUGACACUGAGGCGCGAGAGCGUGGGGAGCAAACAGGAUUAGAUACCCGAGUAGUCCCUGUCUCUUAUAA